This is a long non-coding RNA of Protopterus annectens (West African lungfish), 1214 nucleotides long. RefSeq lists it as uncharacterized. The transcript is spliced from 3 exons. NCBI's taxonomy places the organism in Eukaryota, Metazoa, Chordata, Ceratodontiformes, Protopteridae. The record is from RefSeq and is a predicted model, not a curated record.
UGACGAUAUAGUUAGGUAAAGAGGAAACAUGGCGAUUAAUCACAAAAUAUGGCUGCCAAAGCAACCGUCAUGGAGAAGUUUACCAUAACUGGGAUGAUAGCCAUUGGUUGAACAUAAGGAAUUAAUCCACUUAGCAGCAGAACUAUGCAUUUAAUGGUCUGAAAGUUGAAUCUGAAAUCACUGAUCCUUUAUCAGUGAAAGUUUUCUGGAGAUGUCAUGUGACAGAUGGAAGACGAGGUUAUAUGCUGAAUAUAGAAGAUUCUAGUAAACGCAAAGACACAUCAAAUAUCUUCCAGAGCUUGCUAUUGCUACCUGAAAAUGUAUGCAAGAAAGAGUAUUUAAGAGAUCAGAGAAAUACUUGGAGUACUGUUCUGUAAGAAAAGGGUAUUAAUACUAUAUAGAAAGAGACAACUUUGUCAGAGGGGACACCUCACUAAAGACUGUGGUGUUAUGAUACUGAAGGUAUCAUGAACCAAUAACAGCAGAGAAUGUAGGAUAACUAAAAGGCAGGUAACAACAACUGACUGAAAAUGCUUUUGUUUCUGUUAGAAAUAUAACAGUGGGAUGAAGAGAAUGUGGUAAUGUUUUGAAUAAUGUGGUAAUGUAUUUUUGAAUGAUGUUCUGAGAUAAAGGAUCUUAGAUAACAAAUGCUGUAUUUCCAAAUUGCUUAAUAAUCACUGCCCUUAAUUAGUUCUUAUGCAUUAAACAAGACUGCUAAAAUUGCAGCUUUUGAAAAUAAAAGAUACAUGAUAUAUCUAGAUACAAACACAAUUGCAAUGUCUGAAAUGAGGAGAAUAGGCGCACAAGCUCUUCUCUUAGUUAUUUCUGGCUUAGAAAGGAUGUGUGUGUAUCAUAUGACACAAUUAAAUGAUGGAACUGUUUGCAAACAUGCAACAACCCCCAACACUGUCAGCAUUUCAAUAGAAACUGCAAUAUUUGCAUUAAAUAAGCCAUCUCCCACUGUGCAACAGCAUUACACUAUGCCCACUAGUUCUUAGUUUGAAUAUUUGGCUGGCAGUCUGACUUGGAGAUUAGGUCACUGAGCUGCAAAUCAGCAACAUCCAGCUGAGCUGGAUUCGAUUCUCACAGUUUGCUAAUGUAUAUAUUUGAUCUGUUUGACUCACUUGAAGCAACUAAUUUCAUUCCCUAGUAUACUGACAUCUAAUAGGCCUUAGGUGGUUGGUUACACUUAGCAGUGUAAAAAAACUCACAAA